AGCGAACGCUGGCGGCAGGCUUAACACAUGCAAGUCGAGCGGGCGUAGCAAUACGUCAGCGGCAGACGGGUGAGUAACGCGUGGGAACGUACCUUUUGGUUCGGAACAACACAGGGAAACUUGUGCUAAUACCGGAUAAGCCCUUACGGGGAAAGAUUUAUCGCCGAAAGAUCGGCCCGCGUCUGAUUAGCUAGUUGGUGAGGUAAUGGCUCACCAAGGCGACGAUCAGUAGCUGGUCUGAGAGGAUGAUCAGCCACAUUGGGACUGAGACACGGCCCAAACUCCUACGGGAGGCAGCAGUGGGGAAUAUUGGACAAUGGGGGCAACCCUGAUCCAGCCAUGCCGCGUGAGUGAUGAAGGCCCUAGGGUUGUAAGGCUCCUUUGUGCGGGAAGAUAAUGACGGUACCGCAAGAAUAAGCCCCGGCUAACUUCGUGC
RNAcentral lists this ribosomal RNA (436 nucleotides) under uncultured Bradyrhizobiaceae bacterium. Its description in RNAcentral is "bacterial SSU rRNA". It matches the Rfam family "Bacterial small subunit ribosomal RNA", at positions 29 to 508 of the family's 1533-position model. The record is from RNAcentral. Lineage: Bacteria; Pseudomonadati; Pseudomonadota; Alphaproteobacteria; Hyphomicrobiales; Nitrobacteraceae.